RNAcentral lists this ribosomal RNA (775 nucleotides) under uncultured Lactobacillus sp. Its description in RNAcentral is "bacterial SSU rRNA". It matches the Rfam family "Bacterial small subunit ribosomal RNA", at positions 721 to 1502 of the family's 1533-position model. Lineage: Bacteria; Bacillati; Bacillota; Bacilli; Lactobacillales; Lactobacillaceae. The record is from RNAcentral.
GCGGCUGUCUAGUCUGUACUGACGCUGAGCUCGAAGCAUGGGUAGCGAACAGGAUUAGAUACCUGGUAGUCCAUGCCGUAAACGAUGAGUGCUAAGUGUUGGAGGGUUUCCCCCUUCAGUGCUGCAGCUAACGCAUUAAGCACUCCGCUGGGGAGUACGACCGCAAGGUUGAAACUCAAAGGAAUUGACGGGGGCCCGCACAAGCGGUGGAGCAUGUGGUUUAAUUCGAAGCUACGCGAAGAACCUUACCAGGUCUUGACAUCUUCUGCCAAUCUUAGAGAUAAGACGUUCCCUUCGGGGACAGAAUGACAGGUGGUGCAUGGUUGUCGUCAGCUCGUGUCGUGAGAUGUUGGGUUAAGUCCCGCAACGAGCGCAACCCUUAUUAUCAGUUGCCAGCAUUCAGUUGGGCACUCUGGUGAGACUGCCGGUGACAAACCGGAGAAAGGUGGGGAUGACGUCAAAUCAUCAUGCCCCUUAUGACCUGGGCUACACACGUGCUACAAUGGACGGUACAACGAGUCGCGAAGUCGUGAGGCUAAGCUAAUCUCUUAAAGCCGUUCUCAGUUCGGAUUGUAGGCUGCAACUCGCCUACAUGAAGUUGGAAUCGCUAGUAAUCGCGGAUCAGCAUGCCGCGGUGAAUACGUUCCCGGGCCUUGUACACACCGCCCGUCACACCAUGAGAGUUUGUAACACCCAAAGCCGGUGAGAUAACCUUCGGGAGUCAGCCGUCUAAGGUGGGACAGAUGAUUAGGGUGAAGUCGUAACAAGGUAACCA